RNAcentral lists this ribosomal RNA (491 nucleotides) under uncultured bacterium. RNAcentral describes it as "partial 16S ribosomal RNA". It matches the Rfam family "Bacterial small subunit ribosomal RNA", at positions 30 to 506 of the family's 1533-position model. The record is from RNAcentral.
AUUGAACGCUGGCGGCAUGCUUUACACAUGCAAGUCGAACGGUAACAGGCCUUCGGGUGCUGACGAGUGGCGAACGGGUGAGUAAUGCAUCGGAACGUGCCCAGAGGUGGGGGAUAACGCAGCGAAAGCUGUGCUAAUACCGCAUGUGAUCUGAGGAUGAAAGCGGGGGACCAGGCAGCAAUGUUUGGCCUCGCGCCUUUGGAGCGGCCGAUGUCAGAUUAGGUAGUUGGUGGGGUAAAGGCCUACCAAGCCGACGAUCUGUAGCUGGUCUGAGAGGACGACCAGCCACACUGGGACUGAGACACGGCCCAGACUCCUACGGGAGGCAGCAGUGGGGAAUUUUGGACAAUGGGCGCAAGCCUGAUCCAGCAAUGCCGCGUGCGGGAAGAAGGCCUGCGGGUUGUAAACCGCUUUUGUACGGAACGAAAAGGCUCUGGCUAAUACCUGGGGCUGAUGACGGUACCGUAAGAAUAAGCACCGGCUAACUACGU